CUUUCUCUAAUCAUUUCAUGAUCCUUUUUAUCUCAUUUUGGGGACCAUAUUACUUCAAAAGCAUGAAUGUCCUGUUCUCGAUUUCUGGUGGGCUGGUGAUGGCGGAGUGUAAUCUCUAUUAGUAAGUUUGUGAUUGGAAUUUAAUCACGAGCCAAACCCUUAAGGUAGUUAUAUUACUGAGAUUAUGGCCCCUGUUCCAUGUAGUGCUAUAGAUCUAUUUUCCUUAUAUUGUUAUCCUGAUUUUGGGGGGGAAAUUGUUGGAGUGUGUGGAAAUAUUUUUCCUUCCUUUGAUAUUUGUGUAUAUCAUUUGUUUGGCAUAUAGCUUGUUAGUUUUGCUAAGGAUUGAAGUGACAGUUAUAUCAAGUGGUUGAUAUACCACAGUGAAGGUUUGACGAGAAUUGUAGAUAGUGACAUCCCUCUCCCAUCCCAAAGAAGUUGUGUGUAAAGGGAAGGACAGCACAAAAUGUAAAAUGCUCAUGUAUGUGAUUUAUUCUUUUAUUAGUAUUGUGGUUAGCUUAACGUCUGAGAUCUUGCUGAAAGUGGACGCGAGGAUGAGCAGUAAGUUUUGAACCUGCAGGGGAGUACAGUAUUACAUAUUUUCUUAAACCUUGGAAUUUCUUUCUGAGAAUUUCCAGAUAUGAUGUUUACUUGUUCAAAAGAAUAUAUUCCAGAUGUGAUGUGAGUUUCUAUGAAUCAUGCGGGCAAAGAUGAUGCACCUCGACGAACUAAAUCAAUCCAGGAGGUUAACCUCGAGGAAGGAGAGAGCUAAGAUCAGGGUAUUAACCGGGAAAAAUAGCUAAAUUGAGAAGAAUAAGAGAGGAGAUGAGUUGUAUUAUGAUUUCUGAAUAGCUAUGAAUCAUUACACAUGAGUAUUUAUAGCUAAUCAUUGAACAAUAACCGCGUAACUAACUUUUGGACUCUGCUAUAGUGAUUCUGUUACAACAGUAAAAACAAACAACUACUAUAGUACUUAACAAACUUAACUAACUUUGAGUCCUAACUGUUUUUGCCUCUUCUUAACCUGCUAUACUCGUAUCAAUACCCCUCCGUGAAGAACAUCCUUGUCCUCAAGGAUUGAAACCAGGAAACCUAGUGUAUAACUUUGAAACAAACUCCCAAGUAGCUUGAAUUGCAGCAAGAUCAGUCCAUUUGACUAGGCCCUAAUUUACUACCUUGUUGCCGCGCUUGACCAUCCUCCUAUCUAGAACUGACUCAGGCUCAGGACAAAAGGGACUAGAUAAGUGCAGAACAGGUGGAUGGUUGAAGCUCAUGGGAACUGCAUAACACUUCUUGAGCUGAGAGACAUGGAAAGUAGGAUGAAUAAGAACAUCCUUAGGCAACAACCACCUGUUGCUUACAGCUCUAAUCCUAGCCUCCACCAUAUAAGGACCAUAAUACUUGGCUUAGCUGCCAGCUUGUUAAAUGGUCUAGUAGCUACUGUAACUUGCCUAUAAGGUUGAAGUUUUAAGUACACCCCACCACCCACUGAAAAUGAUCUGUUAGUUCUGUGCUUAUCAGCAAUGUCUUUCAUUCGUUGUUGAGCUCUAGCCAUGUGAGAUUUCAGCAGUUAAAUGAUGGAUUCUCUAGCUUUUAGUGAUCGGUCGACCAUCUCAAAAGCACUCUCGCCGACCAAGUAAGGCAAAUGGAUAGGAGGUUUCUGACCAUACAACACCUCAUAAGGGGUGCACUUGAUGCUGGAAUGGUAAGUGGUAUUGUACCACCACUCAGCCAAGGGUAUAUAGGUAGACCACUCCUUAGGUUUGUCGCAGCAAAAGUAUCUCAAGUAAGUCUCUAGAGUCCUGUUGAGCACCUCAGUUUGACCAUCAAUCUAAGGAUGGUAAGCUGUGGAUCUCUGCAAUUGCACUCCUUGAAAUGUAAAAAGCUCUUGCCAAAAGGAGCUUAAGAACACAGGAUCUCUAUCACUUGUCAUGGUCACUGGCAUACCAUGAAGCUUAAAAACAUGGUCCAAAUAACACUGAGCUACUGAUUGAGCAGUAUAAGGAUGGUGCAAGCAUAAGAAAUGACCAUGCUUGCUCAGUCUGUCAACCACAACCAAUAUGACAUCCUUCCCAUUAGAUUCAGGAAAACCUUCAAUGAAAUCUAAGCACACAUCAAUCCACACACCUUCAUGAAUAGGAAGAGGUUGCAGACUUGUCUCUUUGGCAUAUGUCACAUUGUUGUAUAAAAGAUCUAACAUCUUGCAAAAGGGAUUUCCAAUAGAAUAGUGAUUGGAAUCUCCAAGUAGUAGCAUCCAUCCCUGAGUGCCCUCCUUAAGUAGUGUUAUGGCACAAUUCCAUGAUUUUCCUUUUCAAUUGUGGAUUAUCACCCACCACUAAUCUACUUUUCCAUCUCGGUUGUUCAUGACACCAAGUAUAGUGCUUAAAAGGUUGAACCUGCAAUCUUGUAAUAAUUUCCUGCAGCUUAGGAUUUUGUAUCCAACUCUCUUUAAUUUCAUCAUAUAGAACAUCAUGUGGAGACAAAAUAGAAACAGCCAAGAGUUCAGCAUCCGGCAUUCUAGACAAGGCAUCAACAACCUUUUUCUCAGACCCCUUUUUAUACUCAGCAGAGAAAUCAAAAGCCAUAAGUUUAGAAAUUCCUACAACUUGAAAGUCAGUGUGUAUCUGCUGAUCUAACAAAUAUUUUAAGGCUUUCUAAUCAGUCUUAACGACAAAGUGUCUUCCCAGCAAGUAAUGAGACCACCUUGUAACGGCAAAAAUAAGAGCCAACAAUUCCCUGUCAUACACAGUCAUGGCUUGGUGUUUUGGAGCCAAGGCUUUACUGAUAUAUGCAAUGGGGUGACCCUAUUGCAUUAACACAACACCAAUCCCCUUUCCACUUGCAUCAGUCUCAACCACAAAAAGCAAGGAAUAAUUAGGCAUAGCCAACACAGGUGUAGAAACUAAGGCCUGUUUGAGUGCAUGGAAUGCUGUAGUAGCCUGGUCAGACCAAUUGAAUCCUUCCUUCUUUAACAGGUCAUGUAGUGGUCUACAAAUGACGCCAAAGCCUUGAAUAAAUCUCCUAUAGUAUCUAGCAAGACCUAAGAAACCCCUCAAUUGCUUAAUGUUGCUUGGAAAGAGGAGGGUGCAUUAGUUAAGCCAAAAGGCAUAACUAAAAACUCAUAGUGGCCUUCAUGAGUCUUAAAAGCAGUUUUAUAAGUAUCAUUCUUGUCCAAUCUCAGUUGAUGAUACCCUGCCCUCAAGUCUAUUUUGGAAAACAACACAGCACCCCCUAAUUCAUCAAGCAAGUCUUCAAUCAUUGGUACAGGGAACUUAUCUUUGAUAGUCAACUGAUUCAAGCUUCUAUAAUCCACACAAAGCCUCCAUGUACCAUCUUUUUUUCCUACUAACACCACUGGGAAGCAUAAGGGCUAGUACUAUGUUGUAUUACCCCUUGUUCCAUCAAUUCUUGCAAAAGUUCCUCAUUGAUAUCCUUCUUGAAAGCAGGAUAUCUGUAAGGUCUUUUACUGACUGGACUAGCAAACUCAAUCAAUGGAAUUCUGUGAUCAAAUGCACCUCUGUGUGAAGGGAGUGUUCUAGGUAUUUCAAACAAACAAGAGUACUGCUUAAUUAGAGCAUCUAAAGCAGGAUCUAUACCAGUAGAUAAAGUAGCUUAGAUGUUGUAGCAACUAGUGUCAGUUGUUGUACUAUCCACCAGUGAUAACAUAAACAAUGGAGCAGCUUGUGCUUCUUGUUUAAUCACCUCUUUUGCCUUAGCAGGCUUAAGUUUAUCACUAGCUCCUCUCAACACAUGUUUCUUUCCCUUAAAACAAAUUCAGCUGUCCUGUUCUUAAAAUCAAAUAGUAUCCUUCCCAAUGUGCUUAACCACUGAAUUCCCAACACAAUAUCCAUAUUUCCUAAAGGUAAUAACAGAAAGUCUGAAGCGAAGGUGGUACGUUGUAGUAAACCACUGCAGAUUUUUACACAGCAGCAGUCUGCACUUUUCUACCAUUUGCAAUACUGAUAGAUUGUUCCACUAUAGGAUUAGCCUGACAACCCAACCUUGUGGCUAUAGAUUGAUCAAUGAAAUUAUGUGUACUCCUAGUGUCAAUUAAAAUUAACACCUGUAAGGGCCUUUUCUCAUGAUACCCUGUGACUCUAAUAGUUUGAUGACCAGAAACACCAGUAAAAGCUUGAAGUGAUAUAGUUAUACAGUUUUCAGGUUCAUUCAACAAUUCUUGCACUACAUCACCAUCACUUAUCUCUGCAGUAUCUUCAUCUUCCAAUACCUCUACCAUAUACAGUUGCUUCUUACUUCUACAAUUAUGUCCUUGUACAUAAGGUUCAUCACAGAAAAAACAAAGGCCUUUUGCCCUUUUCUCAUUCAUUUCAGCAGCGGAAAGUCUUCUACCUGGAAUUUUACUAACAACAUUUUGAUGUACCAUCUGACUAGUCAUCUGAUUAUUUCCAACAUUCUUCUUAACUACAGGUGUGUUAUUAGAGGAUCUUGGUUGAAAUGGAGGUUUAGGGGUAGGUAAUAGGCCUUGCAUCUUCAAACCCCAAGAUUGAACUUGAGAUUCAAAAACUACUUCUUGCAAUCUAGUGAUUUUGUAGGCUUGGUAAAGUGUUCUUGGAAUCUGAAUCCUAACAGCUUUGUUAAGUUCAGGUUUCAACCCUCCUAAGUAACAACUCAAGGCAUUUUCAUCAGACAAGUUAACCCCACAUAACAACCUGUCAAACUCAGCUUGAUAAGCCUUCACACUACCAGUCUGUUGUAAAUUCUUAAUAGCUUCCAUUGGGUCUUCAAAACUAUCACUAAAUCUUUCAUUUAUGGCUAGUACAUACUCAGACCAAGAAGGAUCUUUUGCAGCAGUUCUAGUUCUCAUAAAUGACCUAUGCCAGGCUAUAGCAUCACCAUCUAGAUGAAUUGAAGCUACUCUAACCAUUGGAUCAGGUGGAACCUCAUCCAUGGAAAAAAACUGGUCCACCUUAUACAAUCAGGUUCGCAAAUUGUGGCCAGACAAUUGAGGGAAUUCAAGCUUAGAACAACAAUAAGAAAUUUACCAUUAGAAUCUUGAAAUUCUCUGUUCUACUGGGAACAACCUUGCCCCCUUGGUUCAUCACCACCUACUGAAGAUUCAGCCCUGCCUUCAUUUACAUUUCUUUUCUUCUGAUUCCAAUUUCCCAAAGCUUGUUUAAUCUCCAUUAAUUCCUUAUCUGUACGCGCAUUUCGAUCAUUCAUGAUCAACAUUCCAUCCAUCAAUUUCUGCAAUUGAUCUUGGAUUUGUGACAAUUUCCCAUCGACCUCUUCUGUUGAUUUAUCGACAUUUUUAUCACGCACAACCAUGAUUAUUCAGCCGAGAAUCACGAGCUCUGAUACCAAUUGAUGCACCUCGAAGAACUAAAUCAAUCCAGAAGGUUAACCUCGAGGAAGGAGAGAGCUAAGAUCAGGGUGAGAAAAAUAGCUAAAUUGAGAAGAAUAAGAGAGGAGUUGAGAUGUAUUAUGAUUUUUGAAUAGCUGUGAAUCAUUACACAUCAUUACACAUGGGUAUUUAUAGCUAAUCAUUGAACAAUAACCGC
This 5516-nucleotide long non-coding RNA is filed under the name Capsicum annuum. Its description in RNAcentral is "long non-coding RNA (CANN_LNC017539)". The record is from RNAcentral. Lineage: Eukaryota; Viridiplantae; Streptophyta; Magnoliopsida; Solanales; Solanaceae.